This 107-nucleotide non-coding RNA is filed under the name Streptomyces uncialis. RNAcentral's name for it is "Bacterial large subunit ribosomal RNA". It matches the Rfam family "Bacterial large subunit ribosomal RNA", at positions 2818 to 2925 of the family's 2925-position model. Lineage: Bacteria; Bacillati; Actinomycetota; Actinomycetes; Kitasatosporales; Streptomycetaceae. The record is from Rfam by way of RNAcentral.
ACUUGAUGGGGUAAGGCUCCCAGUAGACGACUGGGUUGAUAGGCCAGAUAUGGAAGCCGGGUGACCGGUGGAGUUGACUGGUACUAAUAGGCCGAGGGCUUGUCCUC